This is a long non-coding RNA of Cornus florida, 703 nucleotides long. RefSeq lists it as uncharacterized. The record is from RefSeq and is a predicted model, not a curated record. The transcript is spliced from 3 exons. Lineage: Eukaryota; Viridiplantae; Streptophyta; Magnoliopsida; Cornales; Cornaceae.
AUGGGAAAGGCGGUAUUAACCGUAUUAUAUGUACCUGCAAAGUGCAAUCCAAUUCCUUUUCAGCAGACACAAGAUUCACCAUAUAGUAGAGAGGAGAGAGAAGAAGCAGAGGCGAAGAAUCACGGCGCGAGGCCUAUCGUUCAGGUCAGUGAUUUGGAACUUAUCAACAAGUUGUGAAAUACACAGUUAAGGCAGAGGCAGAAACAUGGACAAGGAAAAAAACAAGCUUGUUGACAUUUAUGGAUCAAAAGCGAUACGUGUUGAGAGGACAGAUGAAUAUGGACGGAUUUUGAGUACGAAGGAAGCCUUUCGGUUGCUUUCCCAUAAAACUCCAUGGGACCUGGCAAAAUGAAACAAGAAAAGCGCAUGCCGGAAUACUAGGUGGAGCAGAAGGUAAAGCAAAUGAAGAAUGCUCUGAUACACCGUCGAUGUCUGUGGAGAGGACUCAAGCUUGAUUAUAGGCAUCAAAAUGACCUCAGAAGAAGCAUUAAUGCUUGAGGGCUUUUCUGUUCUAGCAGUACUUUUUUUUUCUUCUUCGUUCUAGUAGUACUUCAAUAGGAGGAAAAAGGAAAUAUAUGUGGUAUGUAUAUAUGCCUAUGCAAAGAUUCAAUUACAAAUAUGGAUGUCUUUUCACACCAACACAUUAUUUGGCCAUUGGAAAACAUGCAUCCAAAACGAUAUAUGGAAAUUGAUUUUACACAAA